AAAAAAAAGUAACAUUGAGAAUUAGAAAAGAGGAUGUCAAAUCUCUAGUAUUAUCGUUAUAAUUAUCCUCUUAAAGAAGCAAGUAGUAACUUGUUUUACUGUCACAUUCAAACAUGCAACACCUCUAUAAUUAUCCUCUUCAUCCACAAAUAACUUCUAUAAUGCCCUUUCAUUAUUUAUAAUGAAACCCUGUAUUAACAUGAUAAAAAGAAACCCCAAAAUUGAAGGCAUGCAUUAAUGAAAUGAUGAUGGCAUUAGAAAAUAAUAAAGAAUUCCUAACAAGCAAGUUGAAAAUUGAUAUUCGAAAAAGAAAUAUCACAACAACCCAGUUCGCCAAUGCUGAGUUCCUAAAAAAUAUAGAAGAUAGACAUUAAUGAUCAAAAUUGUCGAUUUGCAAAGAUGGACUUCCUAAUCCACUUACUGGUUGUUAAUGGGAAGGAAAUAUUGAUUUAUCACAUGAAUCUAAUUCACGGCCAAGUGUGGAACUGGACCAAAACAGGUAAGACUUCUACAUGUCAUAAGUUUUAAUAUUUAAUAUUGACCUUCAUGGAAAAUAAUUACCAUGUGAAGCAAAGACAUUGAAGGGAGAAAAAUCUUGAACUACAUCUAAGAAAAACGAAAACCUUGAGGUAGUAUAGCAAUUUUACCCGUGGAAACUUUAAACCUUCCACAUUCAGUAGUGAUUAAAAGUCCUACAUUUCAUAUGCCUUAAUCUUCUCAAAACGCAGCACCUUCGCUUCAAUCUUAUUCUCCUAACGAUGUAACAUUUUGUGCUAAGAAUCAGGGUAUUUCAAUCACAAGAAAGAAGAGAGGGAUUUAAGGUUUUAAGAUUUAGGGAUUUUGGGGAUAAACAAAUCAAUUGAGCUUUGAAAAAAUUAAUGAUUUCGAAACCCUAGCCAUCCUCUUUGGGUUUGCCCUAGCAACGAAACGAGUGAAAACGAGUUCUUAAACCUAGUGCAUGAUCAGAGAUCCUACACCUAGGACACCAACAGAGCUCUAAAACAAGUGUUUCAGAGGUAGUGGCGCAAUCAACACUUGAUGGAAAAUGCAUUUUCAUGAAAAUAGAGCAAAAAGGAAAUUAAAUAGAGAAGAGAAGGAGGAAGAGGGAACGUGAUACAUAAACCGGUAGCCCUGAAACGAAGGAGUCCUACCGCUUGAGGCAACACACACUGAUGAAAACCCUAACUGAAAUGAAGGAGCAAAGACUCCACACGCACUAAUGAAAGCCACACAGAGAAGAAAACGGACUAAAACGAAUAAGCAAACACACGUCCAAGAAGAAG
Molecule: long non-coding RNA, 1283 nt
Filed under: Vigna radiata
Lineage: Eukaryota; Viridiplantae; Streptophyta; Magnoliopsida; Fabales; Fabaceae
Description: long non-coding RNA (VRAD_LNC013865)
Source: RNAcentral